CCUACGGGUGGCUGCAGUGGGGAAUAUUGGACAAUGGGCGAAAGCCUGAUCCAGCCAUGCCGCGUGUGUGAAGAAGGCCUUCGGGUUGUAAAGCACUUUCAGUGGGGAAGAAAGCCUUGGGGCUAAUACCCUCGAGGAAGGACAUCACCCACAGAAGAAGCACCGGCUAACUCCGUGCCAGCAGCCGCGGUAAUACGGAGGGUGCGAGCGUUAAUCGGAAUUACUGCGCGUAAAGCGCGCGUAGGCGGUCUGAUAAGCCGGUUGUGAAAGCCCCGGGCUCAACCUGGGAACGGCAUCCGGAACUGUCAGGCUAGAGUGCAGGAGAGGAAGGUAGAAUUCCCGGUGUAGCGGUGAAAUGCGUAGAGAUCGGGAGGAAUACCAGUGGCGAAGGCGGUCUUCUGGACUGACACUGACGCUGAGGUGCGAAAGCGUGGGUAGCAAACAGGAUUAGAUACCCCUGUAGUC
This 465-nucleotide ribosomal RNA is filed under the name Vreelandella stevensii. Its description in RNAcentral is "partial 16S ribosomal RNA". It matches the Rfam family "Bacterial small subunit ribosomal RNA", at positions 338 to 795 of the family's 1533-position model. The record is from RNAcentral. Lineage: Bacteria; Pseudomonadati; Pseudomonadota; Gammaproteobacteria; Oceanospirillales; Halomonadaceae.